GGCGUCCAGUGCGGGCAUAUGCUUUCUUAAGUCUGAUGUGAGAGCCCUUGGCUCAUCCGAGGCAGGGUCUUUGGAAACUGGCAGACUUGUGUGCACGAAGAUGAAAGCGGAUUUCCAUGUGUAGCGGUGAUAUGCGUAGAUUUCUGCAGGAACACCAGUGUCGAAGGCUACUUUAUGGUCUGUCACUGAUAAUGAGGCGCGAAAGCGUGGGGAGCAAACAGGAUUAGAUACCCUGGUAGUCCACGCCGUACACGAUGAGUGCUAAGUGUUAGAGGGUUUCCGCCCUUUAGUGCUGAAGUUAACGCAUUAAGCACUCCGCCUGGGGAGUACGGCCGCAAGGCUGAAACUCACAGGAAUUGACGGGGGCCCCGCACAAGCGGAUGGAGCAUGUGGUUUAAUUCGAAGCAACGCGAAGAACCUUACCAGGUCUUGACAUCCUCUGACAACCCUAGAGAUAGGGCUUCUCCUUCGGGAGCAGAGUGACAGGUGGUGCAUGGUUGUCGUCAGCUCGUGUCGUGAGAUGUGUUAUAAGUCCCGCAACGAGCGCAACCCUUGAUCUUAGUGCCCAUCAUUAAGUUGGCCACUCUAAGGUGACUGCCGAUGACAACCGGAGGAAGGUGGGGAUGACGUCAAAUCAUCAUGCCCUUAUGACCGGGGUACAACGUUUUCAUGGAGGACAAGAGUGCAGACCGGAGGGGACCUAUUCAUAAACGUUUUCAUUCGAUUAAGAUGCCUCCCUCCUGAGUGAAUGUAGAUCGGGACACUCCGUAAAAACUUCGGAAAAA
Molecule: ribosomal RNA, 785 nt
Filed under: Bacillus anthracis (anthrax bacterium)
Lineage: Bacteria; Bacillati; Bacillota; Bacilli; Caryophanales; Bacillaceae
Description: bacterial SSU rRNA
Rfam family: Bacterial small subunit ribosomal RNA
Source: RNAcentral